GACGAACGCUGGCGGCGUGCCUAAUACAUGCAAGUCGAGCGAAUCUUUGGGAGCUUGCUCCCGAAGGUUAGCGGCGGACGGGUGAGUAACACGUGGGCAACCUGCCUAUAAGACUGGGAUAACUUCGGGAAACCGGAGCUAAUACCGGAUAAUUCCUUUUCCUCUCACGAGGGAAAGCUGAAAGACGGUUUCGGCUGUCACUUAUAGAUGGGCCCGCGGCGCAUUAGCUAGUUGGUGAGGUAACGGCCACCAAGGCGACGAUGCGUAGCCGACCUGAGAGGGUGAUCGGCCACAC
This 295-nucleotide ribosomal RNA is filed under the name uncultured bacterium. RNAcentral describes it as "partial 16S ribosomal RNA". It matches the Rfam family "Bacterial small subunit ribosomal RNA", at positions 28 to 313 of the family's 1533-position model. The record is from RNAcentral.